GGGGCUGGGGGAAGUGGCGAAAGGGGCAGUAAGGCAUGGCUAACCUACCCCGGGGACGGGCAUAGCCUCCCUAACGGGAGGGUAAUUCCCGGCGAUUUGCCGAGGGGGCAUCUCCUUGGCAGGAAACGAAUUUCGCCUCGGGAGGGGGUCAUGUGCUAUUAGCUGGUUGGCGGGGUAACGGCCCACCAAGGCGAAGAUGGCUAGCGGGUGUGAGAGCACGACCCGCGCCACUGGCACUGAGACACUGGCCAGACUCCUACGGGAGGCUGCAGUCGAGGAUCUUCGGCAAUGGGCGCAAGCCUGACCGAGCGACGCCGCGUGCGCGAUGAAGGCCUUCGGGUUGUAAAGCGCUGUCGAGGGGGAGGAAAGCCGCAAGGCCUGACCGACCCCUGGAGGAAGCACGGGCUAAGUUCGUGCCAGCAGCCGCGGUAAGACGAACCGUGCGAACGUUGUUCGGAAUCACUGGGCUUAAAGGGCGCGUAGGCGGCUUCUCAAGUCGGGGGUGAAAUCUUUCGGCUCAACCGGAAAAGUGCCUCCGAUACUGGGAAGCUCGAGGGAGGUAGGGGCAGACGGAACUUCCGGUGGAGCGGUGAAAUGCGUUGAUAUCGGAAGGAACGCCGGUGGCGAAAGCGGUCUGCUGGCCCUCUUCUGACGCUGAGGCGCGAAAGCCAGGGGAGCAAACGGGAUUAGAUACCCCGGUAGUCCUGGCCCUAA
RNAcentral lists this ribosomal RNA (714 nucleotides) under uncultured bacterium. Its description in RNAcentral is "bacterial SSU rRNA". It matches the Rfam family "Bacterial small subunit ribosomal RNA", at positions 82 to 805 of the family's 1533-position model. The record is from RNAcentral.